RNAcentral lists this long non-coding RNA (828 nucleotides) under Phoenix dactylifera (date palm). Its description in RNAcentral is "long non-coding RNA (PDAC_LNC002902)". Lineage: Eukaryota; Viridiplantae; Streptophyta; Magnoliopsida; Arecales; Arecaceae. The record is from RNAcentral.
UUGACGGUAUCUACUAUCUAAAGAAUCUUGGAGUAACAUGAUCCAUGACCUACAACUUACCCAAAAAAAUUGGAUUUGGAGAGGACUUAUUUCCUUUUUCUAACUGGUAGGGUUCCGGGUCGGCGCGCGAAAUCACUACUAGAUCAUAAAUGAGCAGGUGUGGGUUUAAUCUUGGAUAUGAAAUUGCACUUUAGCAAGCUUUAUCAUCAAUUAGUUUAUGACAGUUAUACAUUCUAAACUUUAAUUUCAUUGUGAUUAUGAAGAUAUUUUGUGAAGUUAAGUUUGAUCCUAUUAUUCAUGAUUUUUGAAUACCAUGUUUUGCUUGCUACUUGGUUCCAAGAACGUUCAUGGUUCUUCAAUUUUUUUCAUAGUUCACUUAGAAGGGAAAAGUUGAAAGAGACUAGAGGGUAAUGGACAGGGUGAUCCAAUAGACAUUCUAGCUAGUUUCAUCAUUAAUUACUUUAUGACUCAUAUAUCCUAAAUUUUCAAUCUAUUGUGAUUGUGGAGAUAUAACGCAUAUGUCGACAUCUAGCUCAUAGUAGAUAUGAUGCAUAUAAUAGAAUAUUUUAUUCAUGAAAGUUGGAAAAUACAAGCAGGAAUCCACAUUUUUUACUUUGUUUUUUAAUUAGUUCGCAUGGUGAGGGGGCGUGCAUUUGCAUUUACCAUGAAUCCACCAAUUUCCGCCGAUUCUAUUAUUGUUGUUGGAUUGGUCAUAAAACUUGCUUCUAUUUGAUUUGAAGUUGGUCAAGGUAUUGCUGCAGCCAAGCUGUAUCAUUUAACAUAAUAGACAAUCUAUUUGGUUAGAAAACAUAGUAAAUACAAAUAUAA